AACUAACCAAUUAAAUAAAUAAUCAAUCAACUAAUUGAAUUGUAAAAAUAAGAAUAAUAAAAGAAAAUGGAACCAUGAUUUACAUAGUUAAUAAGGAGGAGGGGUGCAAACAUAAAAAGAAGAAUAUGGAAAUAAUAAAUAAAAAGACAAAGGGCCCAAGGCCCAAUACAAAAACUAAAUCCAAAUCUAUUGUUAAUCGCAAUAGUUAAAAAAGGAAUGAAAAGAAAAAAUAAAAUAGAAAAAAUAGAGAGGAGGGAGGCGACUUCCAUGUUGUAACAUCUCCAUUUGCUUUUUGAAAAAAAAAUAUGGCCUAUGGUGUAAUGACACGUGGAUCAUGUUUAAUAACUAAAAAUUAAGACAAAUUCAUUCUCCCUACGUUUGAAAAGUUGCAUAUAUAAGAAAAAUUUCUUCUAUCAAUCUCGUGCCCUCUCUCUUUCUUUCUCUUUGCACCCUCAAAACACAAACUAAAUACUUUCAAAAAAAUAAUGAAAUCAAAGCACACACCAAUCUUGGAUCUAGAAACUCAUGAAAAAACAAGGAAACUCAUGGCAAAAAUCUAACAAAACAAUGAAAAAAUAUGCAAAGGGGUACCGAAAAAAUGUGAGCGGUAUUAGACAGUGCGCAGUCCAGAGUUGUUUAUGAGAAGUUGAGGUUUGUUGUUGUUUGAGUUGAGAAUUUUGUUGAUGGUAAAGGUAGUGGCCAAAAAAGGGUGUACGUGGUGGCGGAACAGUUUGUGAAAAUGAAGAAAAAUAUGGGGUGUUGUUGUUGUUUUUUGUGAGAUGAGUGAAGAUCUUAUGGUGCUUACAAGGUUACUAUUAGAGAAAAAGAAAAUGAAAAGGAUGUGUUUGAGUGGAAGUUUAGAGUUGUUGUAUGAUUAUGGUUUAUGUGUAUUAUUAUGUUGUGGAAGUUGUAUUGAGCUUGUGGUUUUCAUGUUGGGUGUGAAAUAAAGGAGGAGAUUGAGGUGUGAGUUUAAGUUUGCAGAUCAUGUGGUAAGGUUUGUUGGAAGUUUCACGAUUAGUAUGGUGGUCACGGGUUGUUGUAUGGUGAAGUAUAUAGCCGUGAAAACUAUUGUUGGAGGUGGUUAUGGUGUUAUGUUAUUGUCAUGAAGAAGGAAUAAGAUGGAAAAUAAAAGCAUGAGGUUAGGGUCUUAAUGUGAAUGAUUAGAGGGAGUGUUUGAUAGUGAGUUAAAAAAGGAAGAUGGUUGUGUUUUUUGUAGGUUGUGAGUUUGAAGAAAAUGAUGUAUAUAGUUUGUGAGAUGGAGGUUAUUAUGGAGAUUAGUGGGAGCUUAUCACAACUUUGAUCAAGGUGAUAUGAGGUUGAUGAGAGGGACGAAGAGAGGAUAUGUCGAUAAGCAAUGAAGAAAUGAUUAGAAGUAAAGUGAAGAAAUUGUAGGUCAUGGUUUCUAGAAGAGAGAGAAGAGUUAGAGACGUAGUGAGGGAGAGAGAGAGAGCAGAGAAGGACGAUGCAGGAAGAGACGAUGCGAGAGGAGAGCAGAGAGAGAGAGAGAGAGAGAGGAAUUAGAGAUUUUUAGGAUGAGAAAGAAAAUCUUUUUUUAAGGUGGUGUGUGAGAGGAAGGAAAAAUAUCUGUUAUCGUGUUAGUAGAUCCACUCUCUUUUUGCUAGAUGUCACUUGGAGGGGUCUCUUUUGUGAAUACCAAAAUUGAUGGGUAUCUGAUAAAGAAGGACACGCAUUAGUUUGUUGGUGGAAUCCCCAUUCCAAACGUGUGUCCUUUCCCCUAAGGAAUGUAUCAAUAUUUUAUUUUUUCAUUUUCCACUCUCUCCAUUUGAGAGCGUCAAAAUGGAUCCCUCAUAUUGGUGGCCUUUUCCAACUCUUGUCAAUGGAAAAUAUAGUCCUCUCAUGUCUUAUUCUUUC
Molecule: long non-coding RNA, 1872 nt
Filed under: Lathyrus oleraceus (garden pea)
Lineage: Eukaryota; Viridiplantae; Streptophyta; Magnoliopsida; Fabales; Fabaceae
Description: Pisum sativum (pea) long non-coding RNA (PSAT_LNC022471)
Source: RNAcentral